Molecule: ribosomal RNA, 492 nt
Filed under: uncultured bacterium
Lineage: Bacteria
Description: partial 16S ribosomal RNA
Rfam family: Bacterial small subunit ribosomal RNA
Source: RNAcentral
AUUGAACGCUGGCGGUAGGCCUAACUCAUGCAAGUCGAACGGCAGCACAGUAAGAGCUUGCUCUUACGGGUGGCGAGUGGCGGACGGGUGAGGAAUACAUCGGAAUCUACUUUUUCGUGGGGGAUAACGUAGGGAAACUUACGCUAAUACCGCAUACGACCUACGGGUGAAAGCAUGGGAUCUUCGGACCUUGCGCGAUUGAAUGAGCCGAUGUCGGAUUAGCUAGUUGGCGGGGUAAAGGCCCACCAAGGCGACGAUCCGUAGCUGGUCUGAGAGGAUGAUCAGCCACACUGGAACUGAGACACGGUCCAGACUCCUACGGGAGGCAGCAGUGGGGAAUAUUGGACAAUGGGCGCAAGCCUGAUCCAGCCAUACCGCGUGGGUGAAGAAGGCCUUCGGGUUGUAAAGCCCUUUUGUUGGGAAAGAAAAGCAGCAGGUUAAUACCCCGCUGUUCUGACGGUACCCAAAGAAUAAGCACCGGCUAACUUCGUG